AACGUGGGCAGACACACAUAGAAGAAAGAAGAUGAGGAGAAAAAAAAGGAAGAUUUAGCCCCUCAUAACCCUGUGUUGCAUUCAAAUGGAUGACAAAGGUCCACGAAUUUCUUGAUCAUUACAUUGCAUCACAACAGGACCCGUCUGUUAAGGUGCUUCAGCACAAGUUUCAUUGGCAGUCUGUCGAUGAUGUCGUCUGGGUUGCCAGAGAAGACGGUUGACGGCACAAUGAAUACCUCCGACUCACUGCUGAGGAAUGUGCAGGUGUCGUUGACCUCAGAGACACCAAUGAUGUCUACCUCAGUUUCCUCAACCUGGCCCUCAGGGAUCUGUGGAAACAAACCAGUGUGGGAAAUGUCAGUGUAUUAGUACUAAAAAAAACACCUCACUUGUAAACUAUGGCAGCAGUAGUGUUGUGCAUUAUGUACCUGCACAGACGUGUAGGCCGAGGACUGGAAUUUCCUCUGGCCGUUCUUAAAAAUGCAGGGACGAAGGUGUGUGAGCACCACCUCGUCACCCACGUAGAGGUCCAUCAGCGCCUCAUCCCUCCACAGCGACACGUCAAAGGCCUUUCCUCCACACUGGAGCCGCAUGUCCAGAAUGGGGACGUUGGUUCUAGUCAUCCUCGUGCCACACAACUGGAAAAAGUAAAUUUAUGGGCAACUUGUAACUGGAUGAUGAGGAGGUAAUGAUGUUAAUUUAGUACAUUAUAUUAGAUACUGCAAAAAGUAUUAGACGGAUAGAAAAUAUACAUCUAUGAUCUUUCCCUGGAGGCUGAGGUAUCCACCCUGAGAGAUGUCGUCCUGUUCUUCUCCACUCAUCAGUGGGGAAGCCGGACACAGGGCAUGUUUGGCCUGCAUCAUUGCCUCCUCUGUGAUCUCCAUUGGAACCGUUUUGAAUUUCAGGGUUCCAGGACCCACAAACAAAUGUAUCUGUCCGUAUGCAUUUGAUAUAGUGUGUUUUUGGAGUACAUAGCUCACCCCCUCCUCAAACUCCGGGGUAAAGCCAUCUUUUUUAUUUAAAUAGGUUUUUGACCCGUCAGAAAGGGCACUCAAACACUGCGUUUUAAAUCUUCCAAUAUCUAUUUUCCGUCCCUUUGUGAAGCUCUGGGCUCGCUGGCUCAACUUGGUUGCAACACACUUGCAAGUCAAAAAUGCAGUUGGAGUUGGAGUUGGAUUUUAGCACUUAAACUUCAAACAUACAGUGUGAGCAGUGUAGUCUGAUUACAACAUUAAUGACUCUGAGCCGGUUCUUUUGAAUCUACAGUGUGACCAGUGUAGUCUGAUUCCCAAACAAAUUACUCUAAUGAGCUGGUUCUUUUGAAUCUACAGUGUGAAACAUACAGUGUGACCAGUGUAGUCUGAUUCCCAAACAAAUUACUCUAAUGAGCUGGUUCUUUUGAAUCUACAGUGUGAAACAUACAGUGUGACCAGUGUAGUCUGAUUCCCAAAUUAAUGACUCUAAUGAGCCGGUUCUUUUGAAUCUACAAUGUGAAACUUACAGUGUGACCAGUGUAAUCUGAUUACAAUAUUAAUGACUCUAAUGAGCCGGUUGUUGUGAAUCUACAGUGUGAAACAUACAGUGUGACCAGUGUAGUCUGAUUCCCAAAUGAAUGACUCUAAUGAGCCAGUUCAUUUGAAUCUACAGUGUGAAACAUACAGUGUGACCAGUGUAGUCUGAUUCCCAAAUGAAUGACUCUAAUGAGCCGGUUCUUUUCAAUCUACAAUGUGAAACAUACAGUGUGACCAGUGUAGUCUGAUUCCCAAAUUAAUGACUCUAAUGAGCCAGUUCUACAGUGUAGUGUUAAAAGUUUAACUUAGUUGCUAGAUAGAUAGAUAUUUACCCUUAGAUAUAUAGAGAGAUAGCUAUAGAUAGAUAGAGAGAGAGAGAGAUAGAUAUUUACCCUCAGAUAGAUAGAUAGAUAGAUAUUGACCCUCAGAUAGAUGCUAGCACGUUUUUAGCAUGUUUUAGCAUGUGGCUAUGAAGAUUUUAGGUCAUUACUUUUUGGCUGCUUGAUAAAAGAAAUCCUCUGAGGGAGAGAGGGAGAGACGCAGGGCUGACAGGCCCUUUUUGUCUGCGUGUGUGAAAAUGUCAGUUGGGAUUUAAAUUUCUGAACAUUCCGCAAUGUUAAGUCAAUGGGAGUUUUUUCCGAGUUUGAUCGUCAUUUUUAGGAAAACCGUAAGUCCGAUCAGUUAGAAAAGAUAUAGCACACUAUUCGGGAUUAGUCUGAAGGUCUGUGCCGAGUUUGGUGCCUGUAGCUUAAAAGCUCUAGGAGGAGUUAGAUACCGAAAUUUCACCGCUAAGAAGAAUAAUAAGAAGAAUCGGUAUAAGUUUAAGUAGGAUUUCAGUAAGUUGGCUCUCACAAGCCAACUUAACUAGAAAAAGUUCGUCGAGACAAACUUUAAGUUGGCUUGUGAAAGUUUGGACCAGAAAGUUUGAAGUUUAAAGUAGUUUGAAGUUUAAAAGUAGUUUGAAGUUUAAAUUAGUUGCUAGAUAGAUAGAUAGGCACUCAGAUAAAUAGAUAGAUAGAGAGAUAGAUAUUUACCCUCAGAUAGAUAGAUAGAUAGAGAGAGAGAGAGAGAGAGAUAGAUAAAUAUUGACCCUCAGAUAGAUAGAUAGAUAAAUAUUCAAAAAUUUCAUUUCAUGGGCCGUCCUACACCAUUGUAAGUCAAUUUGGGCAAAUUUGGGCAGCUCCUGCCCCCCAGGGGUGCAACUUUUACCCCAUAUUGAGGCAUGCAUCUUACAGAGCCUGCCAGCCUCUUCAAAUGUAGCAAAUCACACGUUUCUGCGAAAUCCUCGCUCGGAGCUGUGAUGCGUCAAAGUUUGUCGCAAUGUAAAGUCUAUGGGAUUUUUCGGGCGCUUUUUUGCCCCUGGGGCAAACACCGUACCCCCGAUCGCUUAUAAAAGUCAUAGCACACGUGUCCUCAAUAGGCCGUUCGAUUUGACACCUCAUUCGUGGGUCUACGCCAAAAGGUGCGGGACGAGUUAGGUGCCGAAGUUUUGU
Xyrauchen texanus (razorback sucker) is the source of this 3004-nucleotide long non-coding RNA. RefSeq lists it as uncharacterized. The record is from RefSeq and is a predicted model, not a curated record. The transcript has 5 exons. NCBI's taxonomy places the organism in Eukaryota, Metazoa, Chordata, Actinopteri, Cypriniformes, Catostomidae.